CCCUCCCUUCAAGAAGCAACGGGAUCCCCCUCCCCCCUUUCUCGUUUUGCCUUUUUUUUUAAUUUCCUCCUCCCGAGAAGAAGGAUUUGGAGCCAGCGUGAAGGAUAAAAAGCCUGGUUUCUCCCUAGGAGGCGCGCCGAAGGAGCCGGAGGGAGAAGGAAGGAGAAAAGGGACUGCUGCUGCUGCUAGCUUGGGCGAUGGACGAUCAACCCAGGUUGAUGCAUUCCCAUGCUGGGGUGGGGAUGGCAGGACAUCCCGGCCUGUCCCAACACAUGCAGGAUGGAGCAGGAGGGACAGAGGGCGAGGGAGGCAGGAAACAAGACAUUGGAGACAUUUUACAGCAGAUCAUGACCAUCACAGAUCAGAGUUUGGAUGAGGCACAAGCCAGAAAACAUGCUUUAAACUGCCACAGAAUGAAGCCGGCCCUUUUUAACGUCUUGUGUGAAAUCAAAGA
Molecule: long non-coding RNA, 454 nt
Organism: Terrapene triunguis (Three-toed box turtle)
Lineage: Eukaryota; Metazoa; Chordata; Testudines; Emydidae
Exons: 2
Source: RefSeq, a predicted model, not a curated record